Molecule: ribosomal RNA, 536 nt
Filed under: Acinetobacter sp.
Lineage: Bacteria; Pseudomonadati; Pseudomonadota; Gammaproteobacteria; Moraxellales; Moraxellaceae
Description: bacterial SSU rRNA
Rfam family: Bacterial small subunit ribosomal RNA
Source: RNAcentral
AGCCUGAUCCAGCCAUGCCGCGUGUGUGAAGAAGGCCUUUUGGUUGUAAAGCACUUUAAGCGAGGAGGAGGCUACUUGGAUUAAUACUCUAGGAUAGUGGACGUUACUCGCAGAAUAAGCACCGGCUAACUCUGUGCCAGCAGCCGCGGUAAUACAGAGGGUGCGAGCGUUAAUCGGAUUUACUGGGCGUAAAGCGUGCGUAGGCGGCUUUUUAAGUCGGAUGUGAAAUCCCUGAGCUUAACUUAGGAAUUGCAUUCGAUACUGGGAAGCUAGAGUAUGGGAGAGGAUGGUAGAAUUCCAGGUGUAGCGGUGAAAUGCGUAGAGAUCUGGAGGAAUACCGAUGGCGAAGGCAGCCAUCUGGCCUAAUACUGACGCUGAGGUACGAAAGCAUGGGGAGCAAACAGGAUUAGAUACCCUGGUAGUCCAUGCCGUAAACGAUGUCUACUAGCCGUUGGGGCCUUUGAGGCUUUAGUGGCGCAGCUAACGCGAUAAGUAGACCGCCUGGGGAGUACGGUCGCAAGACUAAAACUCAAAUG